GAUGAACGCUGGCGGCGUGCCUAAUACAUGCAAGUCGAGCGAACAGACUAGGAGCUUGCUCCUCUGACGUUAGCGGCGGACGGGUGAGUAACACGUGGAUAACCUACCUAUAAGACUGGGAUAACUUCGGGAAACCGGAGCUAAUACCGGAUAAUAUAUUGAACCGCAUGGUUCAAUAGUGAAAGACGGUUUUGCUGUCCCUUAUAGAUGGAUCCGCGCCGCAUUAGCUAGUUGGUAAGGUAACGGCUUACCAAGGCAACGAUGCGUAGCCGACCUGAGAGGGUGAUCGGCCACACUGGAACUGAGACAAGGUCCAGACUCCUACGGGAGGCAGCAGUAGGGAAUCUUCCGCAAUGGGCGCAAGCCUGACGGAGCAACGCCGCGUGAGUGAUGAAGGUCUUCGGAUCGUAAAACUCUGUUAUUAGGGAAGAACAAAUGUGUAAGUAACUAUGCACGUCUUGACGGUACCUAAUCAGAAAGCCACGGCUAACUACGUG
This 497-nucleotide ribosomal RNA is filed under the name uncultured bacterium. RNAcentral's name for it is "partial 16S ribosomal RNA". It matches the Rfam family "Bacterial small subunit ribosomal RNA", at positions 28 to 507 of the family's 1533-position model. The record is from RNAcentral.